Molecule: RNA transcript, 1814 nt
Organism: Jatropha curcas
Lineage: Eukaryota; Viridiplantae; Streptophyta; Magnoliopsida; Malpighiales; Euphorbiaceae
Source: RefSeq, a predicted model, not a curated record
UUCUCAAAUACCCUGGAAACCGACCAUUGUUUUCUGAUUUUAUUUUUAUUCAUCAGCUAAUUAGGAUCCGAAGCAUGGUGGACGGUAGUACCCGGCGUUUGCCUUCAUGGAUGGUCGCUAAUGGAGAUAAAAAUAAGACGGCGACGGCAGAGCCUCUCUCAAAUUGUGGAACUAACAAUAAGAAGAAAGUUAAAAAUGUAGUCAGCAGAAAAGGGGUUGGGAAAAAAAGAAAAGCCAACGAUGCUGUUGAAGACGAUGAUGACAUGAUGGUUAAAGAUUUCGUGAGCAGCGCUCAGGAGGAUAAAAAGGUUGGUAAAAAAAGAGGAGGAAAAAAAACCGUUGAGGAAGAUGAUGAAUUGACGGUUGAAGAUUUAGUGAGCAUUGCUCAGGAGUAUGUAAGGGACCAUGAGGAGGAUUUGGAGCCAAAGCAGUCAUUGGAGAGAAAAUGUUCAACAACAAUAACUCCCUCUAGCAAUGGUUGUAAGAGCGACCAGCAAUUGCCCUGUGCUGAAAUUGCUGAUUCUUGCAGUUCAACUCUGAAUUUGACAAGCCAACAAAGCUUCAUCAAGGUUAGCACAAUGGGGGAUCCUGCUCAGGAAAUGCUUCAUCUGUUUUUGGGUCCCUUGCUGAAGAAACCACUAGAAGAUGAAACCAAAAGUGUAUUUUUCAGAAAUGAUAUGGAUUUUCCCUAUGAUUUGGGAAGGCAAACUCAAACUGAUGUUGGACAGGAAUUGGGUCCCCACACAAAAAAGAAGAGCAGUUUAAAAGACAAGGUUUCAUCGUUACUUGACUGAAUAUGAUCUGUAUAGUUCCCUAUGCACAUGCAAACAGAAGUUUUGACCCUCUUCAAUGGAACUUUUCAUCAACGCAACAACUUUCACCACAGGUAAACUUGAAGCUUAAGUAGCUUCAGGGUUGAUCAUAUGGGGGACUCCCAACAGUUCCUUCUGUACUUAGAGCGGAGCAGUCCAUAUUCUAUCUCAAAGACAAAUUUGAGGGUGGAACUCUUUUCUGAUCUUUAUCAUGAUUCUCAAGUGUCAAACAGACAUCACAAGGAAAACAUCUUUUGUCGUCAGCAAUUUUGGAUACAGAAGUUUUGUAGAUACGGAAGCUAAUGGUAAUGGCAAACAAGACCCUAGUAACUAAUAGUGGCAAGUUGUGGUGCUUUUGAAAGGCAAGACUGAAUUACUAAAAUAUGGGUCACUUGAAAGAGACUUCAUCAGUAGCUAAUCAUUGCAACUUGGGGCAUUGGCAAGGCUAUGCUAAGGUAUCCUAUUUCUCGGCAAGUUGAAUUCUGUCAGGUUAAAACUUGUUUUAGAGGAACCUUUUUUGUCUCUUCAUUUUGCUGAUUUUGCCUGUUUUUGAGCUCUAUGAUACACAUGGAAGAAGAGAAAUUCAUACUUGCAGAAAUGAUAUGCUCAUUCAUGUUGUGGGGGAUGCCUAACAAUUCAAGUCUAUAAGAGAAAUGAAGCUCGAAGUAUGCUCAAGGUAAGUCCUUUGGACAACAAACCGAAAAUAGCUUUUGGAAAUGGGAAUAAUUUUCUCCACAUAGGCGGCUAAGCUUUUGUGGGUUUGCAUUGGGCAGAGAUGAUGCCUUAUGCAUGUGAUAUCGGCGUAUCAUCAACCGCAAAGCAUUAUUGGGUCUGUUGGUGAACGGAAUCCUGCAUUUAUAAUGUUUAUUUAGUCUAAUGGCAUUAUUUUAAUGGGUAAAAGCCCUCAGUUGUCUGUUUCUGUCUCACAAAGUUCAUGGCUGAGAACAUUCACACUAUUUAGAUAUAUUUUAUUUCAAUAUUAUAUCCGUUUUUUCUAACAAA